RNAcentral lists this small RNA (200 nucleotides) under Chelydra serpentina (North American snapping turtle). Its description in RNAcentral is "Metazoan signal recognition particle RNA (ENSCSRG00000011012.1)". It matches the Rfam family "Metazoan signal recognition particle RNA", at positions 99 to 299 of the family's 299-position model. From Rfam's summary of the family: The signal recognition particle (SRP) is a universally conserved ribonucleoprotein. Lineage: Eukaryota; Metazoa; Chordata; Testudines; Chelydridae. The record is from Rfam by way of RNAcentral.
CGAGCGGGUGUCCGCACUGAGUUCGGCAUCGAUAUGGGGAUCCCGGGAAGCUCGGGGUCCCCAGGUUGCCUAAGGAGGGGUGAACCGGCCCAGGUCGGAAACGGAGCAGGUCAAAGCUCCCGUGCCGAUCAGUAGUGGGAUCGCGCCUGUGAAUGGCCCCUGCAGCGUAGCCUGGGCGAGACAGUGAGACCCGGUCUCUU